RNAcentral lists this long non-coding RNA (1663 nucleotides) under Olea europaea subsp. europaea. Lineage: Eukaryota; Viridiplantae; Streptophyta; Magnoliopsida; Lamiales; Oleaceae. The record is from RNAcentral.
AUAAUCCUGUGAAUCUAUACAUCCAGGUUUCCACUCUCCAAUUUCUCCAAUGACGAUGAAGAUGUGGUGGAAUAAACAAGGUAGACACCACUUCGGAGGUAGUUUCUAGGCAACGGUGGAAGGGAAAGACAAAGAUUCAAUGAAUUGAGAAGCCGUGCAGGUUUCAGAGCUUGCAGACUGUGCAGAAUAAUUGGACCUUUUCGACAUCAAAUAGAAGAAAAGGCACGUCGGCAACAAUUGAAGGCAUGCCGAUAUCAAUACAAGUUCUGGAAUUCGUACCUAUAUUUUACGUGAAUAGAGGUAAUCAUAUCCCAUUCAAAUGACGAUUCCUGCAUCAUUCAAUCUAAAAUUUACAUGGGACAAUCAAAUUUGCACUCAGACAAUAGUGGAUACACAUUUAAUCGAUCCAAUUGCUAUUCAAUUACCUCAAAAUUUGAUCCUCAAAAUGGUGACUCGGCUGAUUUCGUCAAUUGCAAUUGAUGGCUAAAAAUGGUAGUGAUAGUUCUAGUAAUUGUAUUUUUGGGUUACAUGAUCGACACAAUCCGUGCUCUGUGAAUUUGAGGUGGUGAUGACAUCGGGCUUAGGAUUUUUUGUUGGGUGGUGGUGGUGAUUGUGGUUGUAGUGUGUGGAGAUGGAGGUCAUAAUUGUUGGUGGUUAUGGUAAGGUGUUCAUUUCUGUCCUCUACGGAUAUGAGGUGGUGGAAGUGGCAAGUUUAGGAUUUUUUAUUUUAAUUUUUUUGUUGGGGAUAGUUGUGGUGGAGAUGGAGGUUGUGAUUUUUGUGGUUAUUUUAUGGUGGUUUUGGAGGUGGGUUCAUGGUGGGUUUUGAGGUGAUGGUAGUGCUGGUGAUGGUCUAGGUGGUGGUUGUGGUGUUGGGUUUGGAUUGGGUUGGGGCUAUAUAAAUACAGUUUGUGUCCAAUAAAUUGGGCUAAUCUAUAGCCAAUAAAUAAUUUGCAACCAAUAAAAUAGAUAGUUUAUGAUAUUUGUGCAAUGGUCUGUGACUUGUGCACAAUGGCAUGUGACGUGAAUUGAUAACAUGUCAUAUGUUUUUGUGCACUUGUUAUGGGUUACAUAUCAAUGUUCACAGGUAACAAAUCAAAUAGAAUUUUUCACAUAUCGCUGAUUUAUAUUCCUAUAUCAAUAUUGAUUGGUCAAUUGUUAUUGUUCAUAGGACACAGGUCAUAUAGUAUAGGCCACUGAUGUUCAUUGAUUACAUGUUAUAAUUCACAGUUCAUACUGUAUAUGUUGUGUAUUUUCAUAGAUCACAGGUCAAUAUUAAUAAUAAUUGGUUAUAGCUCGUAGGUCACAUGUUAUAGUUCAUAGUCAUAUGUCACCAUUCACAUAUCACAGGUUAUAUUGUAUAGGUUACGAAUGUUCACAAAUCACUAAUUAUAAUUCACAUGUCAAUAUUAAUUAGUCAUAGCUUAUUGUUCACAUAUUACCUUUAUCGGUAACAGAUCAUUGUCUACAUAUUACAAAUCCAAGAGCAUUGGUCAUAAGCUUGGAAAAAUAUCAUAGGCAAUAGAUCGAUGUAAAUUGAAGAGAAUUGGCCCUAUAUCCUUGAUUUCUCUAAGCUGAAAUUGAAGUUAUUUGUUACGAUGAGUACUCUGUAAAUUUCACUAGGUGCUAUUUUUCAAUUCAAUUUUAAAAAAUAGUUUUAAAUUAU